This is a long non-coding RNA of Globicephala melas (long-finned pilot whale), 1460 nucleotides long. RefSeq lists it as uncharacterized. NCBI's taxonomy places the organism in Eukaryota, Metazoa, Chordata, Mammalia, Artiodactyla, Delphinidae. The record is from RefSeq and is a predicted model, not a curated record.
GUUCUCCCGGGGAAGUUGUCCCUGGAUCACGGGACUCUGGCAGUGGCGGGCUGCACAGGCUCCCCGGAAAUGGGGUGUGGAGAGUGCCCUGUGCUCGCACACAGGCCCCUUGGUGGCGGCAGCAGCAGCCUUAGCGUCUCCUGCCCGUCUCUGGGGUCCGCGCUUUUAGCCACGGCUCGCGCCCGUCUCUGGAGCUCCUUUAAGCAGCGCUCUUAAUCCCCUCUCCUCACGCACCAGGAAACAAAGAGGGUUUAUGCUGUAUGGGACUCUCUGUGCUUCCUGGACUUGGGAUGAAACAUUCUGUUCUGGAACAGAAGAAAAAACAUUCUUCACACAGUGCUUAUGAGUCUCUGAAGUCUUUACUGGUACUCAGCAUACCUUCACACCCUCACGGGGACAUAGGUUCGAGCCCUGGUCUGGGAAGAUCCCACAUGCCGCAGAGGAACUAAGCCCAUGCGCCACAACUACUGAGCCUGCGCGCCACAACUACUGAGCCCACAUGCCACAACUGCUGAAGCCCACGCACCUAGAGCCCAUGCUCCGCAACGAGAAGCCACCACAAUGAGAAGUUAGCUUACUGCAACGAAGAGUAGCCCCCGCUUGCCGCAACUAGAGAAAGCCUGUGCGCAGCAACGAAGACCCAACACAGCCAAAAAUAAAUUAAUUUUUUAAAAAAAGAUUUACUUAGAAAGGAUUUUGGAAUAUGAUCAAUAAAUAUUUAAGAAAGAAAAAUAUUUGUUCAGAGUUUAACAAAUUCUCACAUCCUACAGAUGACAGAUUUCUGAGAGUACACAUUUUACUUUUUUGUCAAAAUUUAGUCACUUUAUUCUCCAUGUACCCUUUUAAACGUUUAAUAUUUUUGGUUCAUGUUUUUAUUAUUUAAACUUUCCCUUGCAUAAAUGAAAAUUCACUUUUACUUUACUAUUCAAUAUCUCUAUUUUAUAUUUGUAACUAAGAUAUUUUGAAGGUUAUAGGCCUGAUAAUAGUCAUUUAAUUUACAAAACCAUUCUUAAUUAUCUGUUUCUAACUAUGAAUUUUUGUGACAUUCUAUUUCACUAAUUUCUAUCUUAGAUGACAAUAAAAAUAUCCCCUUUUAUUCAAUUCCUGCAAUCUCUGCCUUAUAUACAGAGGAAUUAUAUCUACUUGGAGUCACAAGAAUAAAAUAUUUCAACGUCACUUCCACUUCUACACAUACUUGAGUAGCUGGUAACAAACUUGCCCUCCCACCAUAAAUAAUCAGAUAUUUGGACAAAAUGUUCUCAGUCAUAGGACAAUAGGUAACAAAGACUGUGAUAAUGAGCUUUGUAUGUGUAGAGCUGGUUUAUUUUGAUGUUUUAAAGAAAAUCUUACUCCAAUUCAAUGAAAUUCAAACUUUCUAAUGUUAAAGACCUUGUAGAUAUCUCUUUUCUUUGGACUAUGUACUCCUUUCUAGUCCAUCUUACUGGCCUGAAGAGCUUUGG